RNAcentral lists this ribosomal RNA (486 nucleotides) under uncultured bacterium. RNAcentral's name for it is "partial 16S ribosomal RNA". It matches the Rfam family "Bacterial small subunit ribosomal RNA", at positions 30 to 507 of the family's 1533-position model. The record is from RNAcentral.
AUUGAACGCUGGCGGCAUGCCUUACACAUGCAAGUCGAACGGCAGCACGGGUGCUUGCACCUGGUGGCGAGUGGCGAACGGGUGAGUAAUACAUCGGAACAUGUCCUGUAGUGGGGGAUAGCCCGGCGAAAGCCGGAUUAAUACCGCAUACGAUCUACGGCUGAAAGCGGGGGACCUUCGGGCCUCGCGCUAUAGGGUUGGCCGAUGGCUGAUUAGCUAGUUGGUGGGGUAAAGGCCUACCAAGGCGACGAUCAGUAGCUGGUCUGAGAGGAAGACCAGCCACACUGGGACUGAGACACGGCCCAGACUCCUACGGGAGGCAGCAGUGGGGAAUUUUGGACAAUGGGCGAAAGCCUGAUCCAGCAAUGCCGCGUGUGUGAAGAAGGCCUUCGGGUUGUAAAGCACUUUUGUCCGGAAAGAAAUCCUUGGCCCUAAUACGGUCGGGGGAUGACGGUACCGGAAGAAUAAGCACCGGCUAACUACGUG